This 454-nucleotide ribosomal RNA is filed under the name uncultured bacterium. RNAcentral describes it as "bacterial SSU rRNA". It matches the Rfam family "Bacterial small subunit ribosomal RNA", at positions 29 to 523 of the family's 1533-position model. The record is from RNAcentral.
AACGAACGCCGGCGGCAGGCUUAACACAUGCAAGUCGAACGGGUGUAGCAAUACAUCAGUGGCAGACGGGUGAGUAACACGUGGGAACCUUCCUAGGGGUACGGAACAACUCAGGGAAACUUGAGCUAAUACCGUAUACGUCCGUAAGGAGAAAGAUUCAUCGCCCCUAGACGGGCCCGCGUCGGAUUAGGUAGUUGGUGGGGUAACGGCCUACCAAGCCUACGAUCCGUAGCUGAUCUGAGAGGAUGAUCAGCCACACUGGGACUGAGACACGGCCCAGACUCCUACGGGAGGCAGCAGUGGGGAAUCUUGGACAAUGGGCGCAAGCCUGAUCCAGCCAUGCCGCGUGAGUGAAGAAGGCCUUAGGGUUGUAAAGCUCUUUUACCAGGGACGAUAAUGACGGUACCUGGAGAAUAAGCCCCGGCAAACUUCGUGCCAGCAGCCGCCGCUGUAA